This 252-nucleotide ribosomal RNA is filed under the name uncultured Curvibacter sp. RNAcentral's name for it is "partial 16S ribosomal RNA". It matches the Rfam family "Bacterial small subunit ribosomal RNA", at positions 526 to 777 of the family's 1533-position model. Lineage: Bacteria; Pseudomonadati; Pseudomonadota; Betaproteobacteria; Burkholderiales; Comamonadaceae. The record is from RNAcentral.
CGUAGGGUGCAAGCGUUAAUCGGAAUUACUGGGCGUAAAGCGUGCGCAGGCGGUUAUGUAAGACAGAUGUGAAAUCCCCGGGCUUAACCUGGGAACUGCAUUUGUGACUGCAUAGCUAGAGUACGGUAGAGGGGGAUGGAAUUCCGCGUGUAGCAGUGAAAUGCGUAGAUAUGCGGAGGAACACCGAUGGCGAAGGCAAUCCCCUGGACCUGUACUGACGCUCAUGCACGAAAGCGUGGGGAGCAAACAGGA